This 498-nucleotide ribosomal RNA is filed under the name uncultured bacterium. RNAcentral's name for it is "bacterial SSU rRNA". It matches the Rfam family "Bacterial small subunit ribosomal RNA", at positions 9 to 526 of the family's 1533-position model. The record is from RNAcentral.
GAGUUUGAUCAUGGCUCAGGAUGAACGCUGGCGGCGUGCCUAAUACAGCAAGUCGAACGAGAACCUCGAUUUCGAUUGAGGGGGAAGUGGCGGACGGGUGAGUAACACGUAGGCGACCUGCCCUGAGGAGGGGGACAACAGCCCGAAAGGGCUGCUAAUACCCCAUAAGCUCACGGUGUUUAGAAGGCGGUGAGAAAAGGAAAUUCGCCUCAGGAGGGGCCUGCGGCCCAUCAGCUAGUUGGCGAGGUAACGGCUCACCAAGGCAGCGACGGGUAGGGGGCCUGAGAGGGUGGUCCCCCACAUGGGCACUGAGACACGGGCCCAACUCCUACGGGAGGCAGCAGUAAGGGAUAUUGCACAAUGGGCGCAAGCCUGAUGCAGCAACGCCGCGUGCCCGAUGAAGGCCUUCGGGUCGUAAAGGGCUUUUCUGGCUGAGGAUGAUGACGGCAGGCCAGGAAUAAGUGUCGGCUAACUACGUGCCAGCAGCCGCGGUAAUAC